Molecule: ribosomal RNA, 273 nt
Filed under: uncultured bacterium
Lineage: Bacteria
Description: partial 16S ribosomal RNA
Rfam family: Bacterial small subunit ribosomal RNA
Source: RNAcentral
UACGUAGGGGGCAAGCGUUGUCCGGAUUCACUGGGUGUAAAGGGCGCGUAGGCGGGUUAGCAAGUCAGAGGUGAAAUCUCCCGGCUCACCCGGGAAACUGCCUUUGAAACUGUUAAUCUUGAGUGCGGAAGAGAGAGACGGAAUUCCAGGUGUAGCGGUGAAAUGCGUAGAUAUCUGGAGGAACACCGGUUGCGAAGGCGGUCUCUUGGUCCGUAACUGAAGCGCAGGCGCGAAAGCGUGGGUAGCAAACAGGAUUCGAUAACAGUGGAGUCC